GAUGAAGAACGUAGCGAAAUGCGAUAAGUAGUGUGAAUUGCAGAAUUCAGUGAAUCAUCGAAUCUUUGAACGCACAUUGCGCCCUUUGGUAUUCCUUAGGGCAUGCCUGUUCGAGCGUCAUUUAAACCUUCAAGCCCUGCUUGGUGUUGGGUGCCUGUCCCGCCCCCGCGCGUGGACUCACCUCAAAUCCAUUGGCGGCCCCCGCAAGGCCACGAGCGCAGCAGAAACGCAAACUCGUGUGCCCGGCGGGCGGCUCCCAGAAGCUACACCCACCAUUUUGACCUCGGAUCAGGUAGGGAUACCCGCUGAACUUAAGCAUAUCAAAAGCGGAGGA
This 334-nucleotide unclassified non-coding RNA is filed under the name soil metagenome. RNAcentral's name for it is "partial contains 5.8S ribosomal RNA, internal transcribed spacer 2, and large subunit ribosomal RNA". The stretch from base 1 to 120 matches the Rfam family "5.8S ribosomal RNA", at positions 35 to 154 of the family's 154-position model. The record is from RNAcentral.